UACGUAGGGUGCGAGCGUUAAUCGGAAUUACUGGGCGUAAAGGGUGCGCAGGCGGUCCUGCAAGUCAGGCGUGAAAUCCCCGGGCUUAACCUGGGAAUUGCGCUCGAAACUACGUGGCUCGAGUGUGGCAGAGGAAGGUGGAAUUCCACGUGUAGCGGUGAAAUGCGUAGAGAUGUGGAGGAACACCGAUGGCGAAGGCAGCCUUCUGGGCCAACACUGACGCUCAUGCACGAAAGCGUGGGGAGCAAACAGG
This 253-nucleotide ribosomal RNA is filed under the name uncultured bacterium. Its description in RNAcentral is "partial 16S ribosomal RNA". It matches the Rfam family "Bacterial small subunit ribosomal RNA", at positions 524 to 776 of the family's 1533-position model. The record is from RNAcentral.